GACGAACGCUGGCGGCGUGCCUAACACAUGCAAGUCAACUUGACUGAAGGAGCAAUCUGACAGUAGAGUGGCGCAAGGGUGCGUAACGCGUAAGUAACUUGCCCAAGGUAAGGAAUAACGUCGAGAAAUCGGCGCUAAUACCUCAUAAUGCAGCGGAUCCGCAUGGAUAUGUUGUUAAAGGUUUACCGCCUUGGGAUAGGCUUGCGUCUGAUUAGCUAGUUGGUGUGGUAACGACACACCAAGGCUACGAUCAGUAACUGGUCUGAGAGGAUGAUCAGUCACACUGGAACUGAGACACGGUCCAGACUCCUACGGGAGGCAGCAGUGAGGAAUAUUGGGCAAUGCUCGAAAGAGUGACCCAGCAACGCCGCGUGGAGGAUGAAGGUAUUCUAUAUCGUAAACUCCUGUGAGAGCAGACGAAAGACAGAUUAUUAAUCUGGAUGACUGUAUGCUCAGAGGAAGCCCCGGCUAACU
RNAcentral lists this ribosomal RNA (474 nucleotides) under uncultured bacterium. RNAcentral describes it as "bacterial SSU rRNA". It matches the Rfam family "Bacterial small subunit ribosomal RNA", at positions 28 to 502 of the family's 1533-position model. The record is from RNAcentral.